This 459-nucleotide ribosomal RNA is filed under the name uncultured bacterium. RNAcentral describes it as "partial 16S ribosomal RNA". It matches the Rfam family "Bacterial small subunit ribosomal RNA", at positions 338 to 795 of the family's 1533-position model. The record is from RNAcentral.
CCUACGGGUGGCAGCAGUGAGGAAUAUUGGUCAAUGGCCUAGAGGCUGAACCAGCCAAGUCGCGUGAGGGAUGACGGCCCUACGGGUUGUAAACCUCUUUUGUCGGGGAGCAACGACAGUCACGUGUGGCUCAUCUAGAGUACCCGAAGAAAAAGCCUCGGCUAACUCCGUGCCAGCAGCCGCGGUAAUACGGAGGAUGCGAGCGUUAUCCGGAUUUAUUGGGUUUAAAGGGUGCGCAGGCGGAGGUGCAAGUCAGUGGGAAAAUUGCGGGGCUCAACCCCGUACUGCCGUUGAAACUGCAGCCCUUGAGUGCGCGAGAAGUAUGCGGAAUGCGUGGUGUAGCGGUGAAAUGCAUAGAUAUCACGCAGAACUCCGAUUGCGAAGGCAGCAUACCGGCGCGCAACUGACGCUCAUGCACGAAAGCGUGGGUAUCGAACAGGAUUAGAUACCCGUGUAGUC